GAUGGCCCCCUAUCAGCGAAACAAUCACCACUGCUUUAUUACGGUAUAUCUCUAAGAGGUACGUACCCCUAUCAUGUGAUGAACUGGUAGUGAUUGGAUCUUCCAUUAUCACAGAUUUUUGUUGUGUCAUUUGCAGAUCUAGAAUUGGGAUGCUCUUGUGAUUGCCAAAUCUGAAGAGGGCUUGGGGCCUACGUUUUCUCUCAGAUAGUAGACAUAACAAUUGAACCAAAAUUUAGUGAAGAUCUUAUUUAUGAUUACUUAGAUAUGAUUCGAGAAUUUGAUCUCUUUUCCCUUGGUUUUCUUUUUCAUGAGGAUUGGGAGGGCUUAAAAGAGAUAAACAGUGAUUUCGAGGCUAUGAAAGACACCAAAAAUUAAAGAAAAGGCUUCUCUUUUCUUUCGUUGGGGAGAGAGAAAAUAUUAUGCUGAAAUCAAGGUAGAGAGAUUGUGUUGUUUGAUAUAGUUUUGGAUGAUGUUAUGGGUUGACAACAUUUAACAGAAAGUUUUUUGCUGAGAUCAAAGUAUCUCUAUAUGCUUGAAGAUUUUGGACAACACACUAUUUUGUAGAAAACAUCGGAUGGAAAGAAAUGACGAGACGCGCACCACCAAGGAGUUUCACCUACUUAUUUGAGGACUCUGCAUCUUUGAUGUUUGCUUUAGAUGAAAUAUGGAUUUUUGACUGAAUAGACUUUCACUAGUAAGUAUUUAUGAUUAAGCAAUUAAAAAAUCAAUUAAAAUCUGAUCUUUUGUGUUGGUUGAAAAUGCUUUUGGUGAUGCUUAAGAACUUUAAUUUUUCUUUUUGAUAUCAAAAAGAA
RNAcentral lists this long non-coding RNA (812 nucleotides) under Arabidopsis lyrata. RNAcentral's name for it is "long non-coding RNA (ALYR_LNC000552)". Lineage: Eukaryota; Viridiplantae; Streptophyta; Magnoliopsida; Brassicales; Brassicaceae. The record is from RNAcentral.